GGAGAACAGGGGAGCUUGGAGAGGCCAGAGGUUACACAGCCAGGCUCGGCAGCACAGAAUGUUGCUAAAAGCCUGGGCUCCCGAUUCCCAGGUAAAUGGCCUCUGCUCAGCCCAGAGCAAGACCCAGAGAUCAUAACACCAGGCCAGGUACAUACUGACUAUAAACAGAGUCAUUGACAAGAACCAGGAAAAAGACAAGAGCUGAGGAGGAAGCCUCAUCAGGCAGGUGACCUCAGAUCCUCGCUGUAACGACGGAAAGUUGGCUGAGCAGUGAGCCAGCUGUGGAGACUCGGUCCCCAGCUUGUGCCUCACUCAGGCACAAGGGAGAGUGACAAUCCAGACAACCAACAGGGAGGGUGAACACACAGAGACCGCAAAGGAGAAAACACAGCUUUUGUCGUAUGUCAGGGCUCCUUCAAGAGUCCGUAGACCCUCCCCAGUUUGCUCACAUGAAGCCAAUCAUGAUCUCCACCCUGGGCACACCCCUCCUACGCCUCCUCCUCCAACAAGCCUCCACCUGCAAGGCAAACACACUCAGAGUUCACCCGCCACCCGUACCUUCCCAUGCAAACCCAGCAAAAUGGAUGGCAGAGACUGUGGGAAAGAGGCAGGAAGAGAGACUGCGGUUAGCAAGGUGGGUUCUGAGGCGUGAGCUUCUUCAUCGCUACCAUCCAAUAACAACACGAAAGAAAAACACAGCCUGAACUUGAAGGUGAGCAGUUCAGGGGAAGAUCAAGAGUUAGGAGCGAAGGUAGACUCUCUUAAAUUGUGUGCCGACUUAUUCUCAAGAUGCGUUGGAAAGCACAACCAUGCCCUGCAUCAAACAAUGCUUCAGACCCAGGUAGCAACUCUCACUCCCCCUCUGGGCUUAGCUGCUCCAGAAACCAGUACUUUGGAGGAGUAUCCUGGGAGCCCCCAUUUGUCCCAGCUGUCUCUUAUCGGCUCAGGGAUGGACAUUUCGUGCUGCAUUCUCUGAUGUGUGUCCCUGUCAUAACUUUCCCCUUUGCCAUAUCAAUGAUAGCUGAUUAGGGCCUACCCUUGAUGAUCUCAUUUUGACCUGAUUACAUCUGUGAAGAUCAGAUGUCCAAAUAAACUCCCUUUCCGAGGU
RNAcentral lists this long non-coding RNA (1108 nucleotides) under Mus pahari (shrew mouse). RNAcentral's name for it is "lncRNA (MGP_PahariEiJ_G0005740.1)". The record is from RNAcentral. Lineage: Eukaryota; Metazoa; Chordata; Mammalia; Rodentia; Muridae.